UGGUAGUCCACGCCGUAAACGAUGUCGACUUGGAGGUUGUGCCCUUGAGGCGUGGCUUCCGGAGCUAACGCGUUAAGUCGACCGCCUGGGGAGUACGGCCGCAAGGUUAAAACUCAAAUGAAUUGACGGGGGCCCGCACAAGCGGUGGAGCAUGUGGUUUAAUUCGAUGCAACGCGAAGAACCUUACCUACUCUUGACAUCCAGAGAACUUAGCAGAGAUGCUUUGGUGCCUUCGGGAACUCUGAGACAGGUGCUGCAUGGCUGUCGUCAGCUCGUGUUGUGAAAUGUUGGGUUAAGUCCCGCAACGAGCGCAACCCUUAUCCUUUGUUGCCAGCGGUUCGGCCGGGAACUCAAAGGAGACUGCCAGUGAUAAACUGGAGGAAGGUGGGGAUGACGUCAAGUCAUCAUGGCCCUUACGAGUAGGGCUACACACGUGCUACAAUGGCAUAUACAAAGAGAAGCGACCUCGCGAGAGCAAGCGGACCUCAUAAAGUAUGUCGUAGUCCGGAUUGGAGUCUGCAACUCGACUCCAUGAAGUCGGAAUCGCUAGUAAUCGUAGAUCAGAAUGCUACGGUGAAUACGUUCCCGGGCCUUGUACACACCGCCCGUCACACCAUGGGAGUGGGUUGCAAAAGAAGUAGGUAGCUUA
Molecule: ribosomal RNA, 649 nt
Filed under: Kluyvera sp.
Lineage: Bacteria; Pseudomonadati; Pseudomonadota; Gammaproteobacteria; Enterobacterales; Enterobacteriaceae
Description: bacterial SSU rRNA
Rfam family: Bacterial small subunit ribosomal RNA
Source: RNAcentral